GUUUAAAAACCAGGAGAUUCCUGAGGAACCCAACGAACUUCGUGGUUCAUACAACCAUAUCUCAAACUCCUUGAAUCCAACAGGAACACUGUUUCUGUAAAUAGAGUAUCAGAUGUUUGGAAGAUUAUGGAUUGGGCAGAUUUAAAAAGAGCAAGCGGUGCCCUCUUUAACUAGAUCAAGAAACCAGGGAUUGCAAGUAGGUUCUACUUAAAAGCCAGGCAAGAGACAUUCAGAUAAAUACUGGUUCCCAAAUGCAUCCUGGGAAUGUUAAGUGACUCCAUUGAAUGGUACUCCAGUCAUCUAUCUCAAAGGGAUGAAGGAAGGGCUAAGUCAAACCUGCAGGGGAAAUGAACCUGUGAACCCCCAAGGGUUGAAC
Molecule: non-coding RNA, 376 nt
Organism: Pelobates cultripes (western spadefoot toad)
Lineage: Eukaryota; Metazoa; Chordata; Amphibia; Anura; Pelobatidae
Source: the annotation of a GenBank genome assembly